GAACGCUGGCGGCAUGCCUAACACAUGCAAGUCGAACGAACCCUUCGGGGUUAGUGGCGCACGGGUGCGUAACGCGUGGGAAUCUGCCCUUUGCUUCGGAAUAACUCAGGGAAACUUGUGCUAAUACCGGAUGAUGUCUUCGGACCAAAGAUUUAUCGGCAAGGGAUGAGCCCGCGUAGGAUUAGGUAGUUGGUGGGGUAAAGGCCUACCAAGCCGACGAUCCUUAGCUGGUCUGAGAGGAUGAUCAGCCACACUGGGACUGAGACACGGCCCAGACUCCUACGGGAGGCAGCAGUGGGGAAUAUUGGACAAUGGGCGCAAGCCUGAUCCAGCAAUGCCGCGUGAGUGAUGAAGGCCCUCGGGUCGUAAAGCUCUUUUACCAGGGAUGAUAAUGACAGUACCUGGAGAAUAAGCUCCGGCUAACUCCGUG
This 430-nucleotide ribosomal RNA is filed under the name uncultured bacterium. RNAcentral describes it as "partial 16S ribosomal RNA". It matches the Rfam family "Bacterial small subunit ribosomal RNA", at positions 31 to 507 of the family's 1533-position model. The record is from RNAcentral.